Molecule: small nucleolar RNA, 109 nt
Filed under: Trametes pubescens
Lineage: Eukaryota; Fungi; Basidiomycota; Agaricomycetes; Polyporales; Polyporaceae
Description: Small nucleolar RNA Z13/snr52
Rfam family: Small nucleolar RNA Z13/snr52
About the family: Z13 or snr52 is a member of the C/D class of snoRNA which contain the C (UGAUGA) and D (CUGA) box motifs.
Source: Rfam by way of RNAcentral
UUUGUCUGAAUGAUGAAACCAUACCGGAUGUAAAUGAGCUACGGCUCUGCUUGUCCGAGAGCGCAUAACCUCGUGUGGAUGUUUCCGUUGCCUUCCUUCUGACCUCCUU